RNAcentral lists this ribosomal RNA (875 nucleotides) under uncultured archaeon. Its description in RNAcentral is "bacterial SSU rRNA". It matches the Rfam family "Archaeal small subunit ribosomal RNA", at positions 22 to 903 of the family's 1478-position model. The record is from RNAcentral.
GGCUACCGCUAUUGGAGUUCGAUUAAGCCAUGCGAGUCGCGAGUCUUAGGGACUCGGCGUACCGCUCAGUAACACGUGGGUAACCUGCCCUAUGCUGGGGGAUAACCUCAGGAAACUGAGAAUAAUACCCCAUAGUUCACCACGCCUGGAACGGUGGGUGGACCAAAGCUCCGGCGGCAUAGGAUGGGCCUGCGGCGUAUCAGGUUGUAGGGGGUGUAAUGUACCCUCUAGCCCUCUACGCGUACGGGUGUUGAGAGACAUCGCCCGGAGAUGGAUUCUGAGACACGAAUCCAGACCCUACGGGGUGCAGCAGGCGCGAAAACUUGGCAAUGCGAGAAAUCGUGACCAGGGAACUCCAAGUGCAUCGGGUAAGACCGAUGCUUUUCUUGACUCUUCAAAGGUCUUGGAAUAAGGGGUGGGUAAGGACGGUGCCAGCCGCCGCGGUAAUACCGGCGCCCCAAGUGGUAGUCGCUUUUAUUGGGCCUAAAACGUCCGUAGCCGGUCUGGUACAUUCGUGGGUAAAUCAACCAGCUCAACUGGUUGAAUUCUGCGAGCACGGCCAGACUUGGGACCGGGAGAGGUGUGGGGUACUCUCAGGGUAGGGGUAAAAUCCUGUCAUCCUGAGAGGACCACCUGUUGCGAAGGCGCCACACUAGAACGGAUCCGACGGUCAGGGACGAAGCCUAGGGGCACGAACCGGAUUAGAUACCCGGGUAGUCCUAGGUGUAAACGCUGUGGACUUGAUGUUGGGGGCGCUCCGAGCGCACUCAGUGUCGAAGCGAAGGUGAUAAGUCCACUGCCUGGGGAGUACGGUCGCAAGGCUGAAACUUAAAGGAAUUGGCGGGGAGCACCGCAACCUGAGGAUUGUGCGGUUU